GGGGGGGGCAAGCGUUGUUCGGAAUUACUGGGCGUAAAGGGCUCGUAGGCGGCCAACUAAGUCAGACGUGAAAUCCCCAGGCUCAACCUGGGAACUGCGUCUGAUACUGGAUGGCUUGAAUCCGGGAGAGGGAUGCAGAAUUCCAGGUGUAGCGGUGAAAUGCGUAGAUAUCUGGAGGAAUACCGGUGGCGAAGGCGGCAUCCUGGACCGGCAUUGACGCUGAGGAGCGAAAGCCAGGGGAGCAAACGGGAUUAGAUACCCCGGUAGUCCUGGCCCUAAACGAUGAAUGCUUGGUGUGACGGGUAUCGAUCCCUGUCGUGCCGAAGCUAACGCAUUAAGCAUUCCGCCUGGGGAGUACGGUCGCAAGGCUGAA
This 373-nucleotide ribosomal RNA is filed under the name uncultured bacterium. RNAcentral describes it as "bacterial SSU rRNA". It matches the Rfam family "Bacterial small subunit ribosomal RNA", at positions 527 to 898 of the family's 1533-position model. The record is from RNAcentral.